AUUGAACGCUGGCGGCAGGCCUAACACAUGCAAGUCGAACGCGUGGCGGACGGGUGAGAUAUGUCUGGGAAAACGCCUGAUGGAGGGGGCUAACUACUGGAAACUGUAUCUAAUCCCGCAAACCAUCAGAUUUGCCCAGAUGGGAUUAGCGAGAAGGGGGGGUAAAGGCUCACUUAGGCGACGAUCCCUAGCUGGUCUGAGAGGAUGACCAGCCAAACUGGAACUGAGACACGGUCCAGACUCCUACGGGAGGCAGCAGUGGGGAAUAUUGCACAAUGGGCGCAAGCCUGAUGCAGCCAUGCCGCGUGUAUGAAGAAGGCCUUAGGGUUGUAAAGUACUUUCAGCUGGGAGGCGUUACCCGCAGAAGAAGCACCGGCUAACUCCGUGCCAGCAGCCGCGGUAAUUC
Molecule: ribosomal RNA, 406 nt
Filed under: uncultured bacterium
Lineage: Bacteria
Description: partial 16S ribosomal RNA
Rfam family: Bacterial small subunit ribosomal RNA
Source: RNAcentral